ACGUUGCAUCCGAAGCGGCCCUGUGUGUUAUGUAAGGUGCUCGCUCCCAAUAAGGAUGCACGGCGCGCGCGAAUUGCCAGCCAGCCUCCCGGGCGAGUGAGUUCCUCUUUGGCCGCUCUCCUCCUCCGAGGACCUUGAGCUCCAAUUAGAAGCGGGUGUGGAGCUUCUCUGGGGUCGGGGGACGCAUUGGGAAGGAGUCUGUCGGCUGGGGAGAUGGAGAGGGGCGAGAGGGUGCCUUCCACGUUGCCAAAGGACCCGGGAAGAGGUGCAAUAUCUCCCCCUGCUUCCCAGUGAGCCCUUGUCCUGCAGAGCUCUCUUCUCCAGGGCAGUCUUGCAUCUGUCCUGCAGUGCUAGAUCCAUAGAGGAAGACGUACUGGAGACACAAGUACAGUGACUGUUCUGGGGAAGCAAUGGAUGUUGGCUGAGAUCGUGAUUAUUUCCAGCAGGAACAAGGAAAAUACAACGCAGCUGGGGAAAGCAAUGGUUGUCCGUCCUGUGCAGCUGGAGUCAUUAAUACAAUGGCAUCAGAGCAGUGUCUUGCCUAAUGGAUAAUCUGUCCUAAUGGGACACAGUAUUUGGAGAGAAUUACUUUUGAUAGUUGGAACCCUAUCUAUACUGAUGUAAAAUGACAUUUGCCACUCAAUGGCGCCAUCACAAACUGAUGUGGAUGGUUCCUAUAGAUCAUGGAUAAAUACUGAAGGAAAGCAUUUUUGCUGAAGUGUGUAAAGGAGAAAACAUGUUGCAUUCCAUGUCAAUUUUGCGCUUCUGCUUUCACGUGGACCACAGAUAUUUCCCUUGAUAUACAAGAAUGUGUUCUUUCAUUACCAUACUUAGUAUCCUUCUUUGGAUGUAAAGAAGACAAAAAUAUAUGUUUUUUCUGCAGACUAUGGAAAGCUAUGUAAGUCCUUCAACUGGGGUUUACUCCAUGCCAAAGCUAAACAAACCCUUUAACUAGUUGGAACCUGCUGUAUCAACCAACAUUUUUCUAACUAAAGGUUCUUAUGGAA
This is a long non-coding RNA of Anolis sagrei ordinatus, 1007 nucleotides long. RefSeq lists it as uncharacterized. NCBI's taxonomy places the organism in Eukaryota, Metazoa, Chordata, Lepidosauria, Squamata, Anolidae. The record is from RefSeq and is a predicted model, not a curated record.